RNAcentral lists this ribosomal RNA (692 nucleotides) under Clostridioides difficile. Its description in RNAcentral is "bacterial LSU rRNA". It matches the Rfam family "Bacterial large subunit ribosomal RNA", at positions 883 to 1580 of the family's 2925-position model. Lineage: Bacteria; Bacillati; Bacillota; Clostridia; Peptostreptococcales; Peptostreptococcaceae. The record is from RNAcentral.
CAAGGUGAGAGAUACGGAGGUAGAGCACUGAAUGUCCUAGGGGGUAUUGCACCUACCGAAGACUAUCAAACUCCGAAUGCCGUCAUCUUAUACUUGGGAGUCAGACUGUGGGUGAUAAGAUUCAUAGUCGAAAGGGCAACAGCCCAGAUCGUCAGCUAAGGUCCCUAAAUGUAAGUUAAGUGGUAAAGGAUGUGGGAUUGCACAGACAACCAGGAUGUUGGCUUAGAAGCAGCCACUCAUUCAAAGAGUGCGUAAUAGCUCACUGGUCGAGUGAUCCUGCGCCGAAGAUUUCCGGGGCUAAAACUUACUACCGAAGCUACGGCAUCAGUAAUGAUGGGUAGGGGAGCUUCCCAUACGGGUUGAAGCAUGACCGUAAGGACAUGUGGACAGGAUGGGAGUGAGAAUGUUGGCAUGAGUAGCGAGAUGUGGGUGGGAAUCCCACAGGCCGUAAACCCAAGGUUUCCAGGGGAAGGUUCGUCCGCCCUGGGUUAGUCGGGACCUAAGCUGAGGCCGAAAGGCGUAGGUGAUGGACAACAGGUUGAUAUUCCUGUACUACCGAUAACCGUUUGAGAGAAGGGAUGACACAGUAGGAUAAGCUAAGCACACUGUUGGUUAUGUGUGCCCAAGCAUUGAGGCAGUCAAAGUAGGCAAAUCCGCUUUGAUAAUGCUGGGAUGUGAUGGGGAGCGAAAUU